This 276-nucleotide ribosomal RNA is filed under the name uncultured bacterium. RNAcentral describes it as "partial 16S ribosomal RNA". The record is from RNAcentral.
CUGCUGCCUCCCGUAGGAGUCUGGUCCGUGUCUCAGUACCAGUGUGGGGGACCUUCCUCUCAGAACCCCUACGCAUCGUCGCCUUGGUGGGCCGUUACCCCGCCAACUAGCUAAUGCGACGCAUGACCAUCCGUAGCCGGAAUCGCUUCCUUUAAACCCGAGGAGAUGCCUCCUCGGGUUGUUACGCGGUAUUAGACGGAAUUUCUUCCGCUUAUCCCCCUGCUACGGGCAGGUUUCAUACGUGUUACUCACCCGUGCGCCGGUCGCCGGCGGGAG